RNAcentral lists this ribosomal RNA (468 nucleotides) under uncultured bacterium. Its description in RNAcentral is "partial 16S ribosomal RNA". It matches the Rfam family "Bacterial small subunit ribosomal RNA", at positions 28 to 507 of the family's 1533-position model. The record is from RNAcentral.
GACGAACGCUGGCGGCGUGCUUAACACAUGCAAGUCGAACGGAAAGGCCCUGCUUUUGUGGGGUGCUCGAGUGGCGAACGGGUGAGUAACACGUGAGUAACCUGCCCUUGACUUUGGGAUAACUUCAGGAAACUGGGGCUAAUACCGGAUAGGAGCUCCUGCUGCAUGGUGGGGGUUGGAAAGUUUCGGCGGUUGGGGAUGGACUCGCGGCUUAUCAGCUUGUUGGUGGGGUAGUGGCUUACCAAGACUUUGACGGGUAGCCGGCCUGAGAGGGUGACCGGCCACAUUGGGACUGAGAUACGGCCCAGACUCCUACGGGAGGCAGCAGUGGGGAAUAUUGCACAAUGGGCGGAAGCCUGAUGCAGCAACGCCGCGUGCGGGAUGAAGGCCUUCGGGUUGUAAACCGCUUUCGCCUGUGACGAAGCGUGAGUGACGGUAAUGGGUAAAGAAGCACCGGCUAACUACGUG